This 300-nucleotide ribosomal RNA is filed under the name uncultured Alphaproteobacteria bacterium. RNAcentral describes it as "bacterial SSU rRNA". It matches the Rfam family "Bacterial small subunit ribosomal RNA", at positions 28 to 355 of the family's 1533-position model. The record is from RNAcentral. Lineage: Bacteria; Pseudomonadati; Pseudomonadota; Alphaproteobacteria.
GAUGAACGCUGGCGGUCUGCUUAACACAUGCAAGUCGAGCGCGCCCUUCGGGGUGAGCGGCGGACGGGUUAGUAACGCGUGGGAAUAUACCCGACACUAAGGAAUAGCCUCUGGAAACGGAGAGUAAUACCUUAUACGCCCUUCGGGGAAAGAUUUAUCGGUGACGGAUUAGCCCGCGUUAGAUUAGAUAGUUGGUGGGGUAAUGGCCUACCAAGUCUACGAUCUAUAGCUGGUUUUUAGAGGAUGAUCAGCAACACUAGGGACUGAGACACGGCCCAGACUCCUACGGGAGGCAGCAGU